GAAGCGGCCUGUGCGAAUCAUUCCCUACUUCCGGCCUGUGCGAUCCACCUUACUUCCGGUCACUGUACUCCAUUCCACACAGAGGAAUCUUCGGUGUCCGUAGAGAUCAGGGUAAUACAGUAGUGAAGACGACCUUUGGUGAGUGUGAGACACCCAGCAGCCAUCCUCGUGUGUCAGGUUGACUAAGCAGGACCCACAGCCCCAUCACGGUGCCUCCACCUCACUCACUGAUACAUGAGAGACACAGUGACCAGAAGAUCCUGGAACUCACCAACAAGAUCAUUCAGCUGCUGACAGGAGAGGAGGGGGAGUAUAUAGAGGAACACAGGGGUCUGUACAAGGACGUGAUGAUGGAGAAUCACCGGCCGCUCACAUCACUGGAUGGGCCCAGUAACAGAGAUACCCCAGAGAGAUGUCCCCGUCCUCUGUAUUCCCAGGAUUGUACAGAGGAGAAUCACAGGAUCCCACA
This is a long non-coding RNA of Pseudophryne corroboree (corroboree frog), 469 nucleotides long. RefSeq lists it as uncharacterized. The record is from RefSeq and is a predicted model, not a curated record. Lineage: Eukaryota; Metazoa; Chordata; Amphibia; Anura; Myobatrachidae. The transcript has 4 exons.